RNAcentral lists this long non-coding RNA (256 nucleotides) under Hordeum vulgare. RNAcentral's name for it is "long non-coding RNA (HVUL_LNC015661)". The record is from RNAcentral. Lineage: Eukaryota; Viridiplantae; Streptophyta; Magnoliopsida; Poales; Poaceae.
CAUGAUGCUCAACCCAAGCCUAAUCCUACCAAAAGCCUCAAGUGAGGAAUAUGAGUGACAUGAGGACUCUCACAGUUGAGGGUUCCGACCGUUUCGAUAGCCACGCCACAUCAUUUGUCUUAUCCACACCAACGGUCAUAUUAUUUAAGGGCAUUAGUGUCAAAUCAUGUCUGGAUGCUCCCAGGCUAUAAAUAGCCGCCCCCACAACCAUUAGCUGGUUGGCUGCUCCGUUAGAAACUGACACUUGUCAUAAGAG